UACUUUGCUUUAGAUGGAGUGAUUCAUGAAACGGUCAUAUGAUAAAGGUAUUACAUGGACAGAAAGAGAACAACUUCCGCCUGGUAUAUUAGGACCUAUAAAAAAUAAGGUGAAACCAUAAACCACUCAAAACAGUACUCAAUAGCAUGCAAAAUUAAUAUACUAUAUUCUAUGAAAGUGAAAAUGUUGAAGCUGGGUAUAAAAUAGAACACUAAUACUUUGCCAUUUUGCACAAUAGCAUGCAAAAAACAUGCAAGAGAGGUAGUAAAUUGAAAAUUACUAGUAUUCUAUUGGUUCACAAGUAUUUCUAGGCUUUUUGGCAAGCAUGAGUUGUGUGGAGAAAAUUUGUGGUGGCUAAGCAUUUGUUGAGUAUAUCACUUCUACCCGAUUAUCAUGUAAAUUUUAAUAGUCAACCUUGUUCAAGAUAUGGGAGAGGGAAUGUGUCUUUUGGCUCAAAGUCACGCCCAGUUCGUUACAUGUGCGUGACACAGUUCCAUCUCACUUUGCCAUACGGCACUUUGCCACAAGAAUUCUCAUCCACACCACCUCUUUCUACUGAUGCAGUAGUUGGUUUUCAUGACUCAAAACUUGUAAGCUCUCUUCAACACUACUUGCCAUGUGAUUGUGAUUGAUCUCACCUUCUUAAUGUUUUUUAAUUAAUCAUAUAUGUGGAUAGUUGAUUUUGUAUACUUUCAGGAACCUCUUAAAAGUUUUCCACAGUUGCUAGUAAUGGCUCAUGAGUUAGGAAUACUUACAAAUAUUAACACAUUAUCUCAUAUGUUUAGACGAAGAAAGUGAAAAACAUAGCUAGUAAAAUAAAAAGAACACAACUCUGACAUACUUUGUAAUUCCAUUCUUUCAUGGAUGACAUUAAAGUAAGCUUCCAGCUUGUUGUAAACAGUUUCUCUAUCUUAAGAUUUGUACAAGUGAAGAUGUGUAUACAAUGCUUUCUCUUUUAACAUUUUGUUUACCUUUACAUUGAGACAGUGUAAUGAAGUGAAGAUGUGUAUACGUCUUAUGGUAUCUGGCGUACCUGCUACGGUGGAGCACCGAGCCAUUGCGGCAACAGGCACGUCCACCUUGGCUGCCUUUAUGGCCAAGUGUGUUUAGAAUUUCAUUAAAGCAAUGGAUUUGUUGAAAUUGAACAUGGUAGUUGUGGAUUAGGUGCAUCCUUUGCUCUCAAACCUUUAUGGUUCACUUAACAAAUUGACGAUUUUGUCGUCGGGUGUUGAGGGGAAAAUAAAAAUGAAGGAUUGGACUGAUUUAUGUACCAGAACAGUGGCGUAGAGGAGCAUCAAAUGAACCAAGCAUCAAAUGAACCAAAAAACAAGUGAAGAUAUACCGAAUUCUGAAGAAAUGUUGCCAAAACAAAAGCCAAAGAAGAAGAAGAAAACUUAUAUAUGAAGAAAGUGUUAUGACUUAGUUAAAAUAUAAUUUUUAUGUGUAUGAUUUUAUAGUACUUGACAUAU
Long non-coding RNA from Vicia villosa (hairy vetch), 1469 nucleotides. RefSeq lists it as uncharacterized. The record is from RefSeq and is a predicted model, not a curated record. NCBI's taxonomy places the organism in Eukaryota, Viridiplantae, Streptophyta, Magnoliopsida, Fabales, Fabaceae. The transcript is spliced from 3 exons.